UUUUUUUGGGGGGGAAAGCUAAUUUAUUCUUUAUGAAGCGGAUACCAUUUGUGGCUUGGUGGAUAGUCAAUUAAUUUUAUACUGGUGUUAAUAUCUAUCCCUUUUUCCGUUUCUAUUUUCUGACUCAUUUUGUAAUUUUUGAGUGCUGCUUAUCUUCACUGGGCUUUCAGUGCCGUGACACAAACAUAGAAUAUUAUUCUACUUGUAUCUGCUUUGGAAAAAGAUUGUGUAUGUUGAUCUGUAAUGUUGUCCUUCUCAGAGUAGGUUAUCACAGUUGUUUUCUUUGUGGUCUGCAGAUAGGAACAAGUGAAUAACUUCAGCUGGAGCAGAUUGCCAGUUAUGUGAUAGUAUUUUAUAAUCAACAUGCGGUUUUCUCAUGUACUAAUUGCUAGUUCACUUUAAAAUGAAAGCAAGAUUGGUUUUUGAUUUGUGAAGUGUUCCUAUGCACAUACCUUCAAGAAGUGAAAGAGAGCUGUCAUUAGGACUGUGGUACCAGUGCCUCUCGUAGGCUUUAACUGCACUCACCUGCCCCGCCUGCAGCCUCCCCAUGCCCCUGCCCAGCUUGGGGCACUCUUGUUUCAGGGUGUGACCCAUAGGCUCACUCCCUGCCUUGACUGUGUCUCAUCACCAUGAACUUGCCAGAUGAGCUGGGCUCUUGGUGACACAUGCUCUGCUCUUCUCACACAGGGCCAUGGAAAUUGCAGUUUUGUGGCAAGUUAGAGGAUUAGUAGCUGCAUCAGCUUUUGGUACAAAUAAAAGCUGUAAGUCAACCAGUCCUCCUGCAGGUAUGACAGCUAGGAUUUCCAUGAACAAGGCUUCAGGCCUGGUUUAUGUCUUCUUAAUUCAGCAUGUUAAAACAAAACAAAACAAAAAAAGUACCUAA
Molecule: long non-coding RNA, 883 nt
Filed under: Anas platyrhynchos platyrhynchos (common mallard)
Lineage: Eukaryota; Metazoa; Chordata; Aves; Anseriformes; Anatidae
Description: lncRNA (ENSAPLG00000017740.1)
Source: RNAcentral